AACCCACGGUGAGGGCACCGUCUCAAUAAGUCCUUAUACAUCUCCCAUGCAUCAUAUAAAGUCUUUAAAUUGAUAUACACAAAGGAGGAGAUAUCAUUCCUUAACUU
Gossypium hirsutum (cotton) is the source of this 107-nucleotide non-coding RNA. The record is from Rfam. Lineage: Eukaryota; Viridiplantae; Streptophyta; Magnoliopsida; Malvales; Malvaceae.